GCAAGACUCUAUGGACCCCCAUGGCUGGGCCUCGGGGGAGGUGAGGACAGGCUUCCAAAAGGAGAGGAUGCUUAUUGCUGCCUCAUGAAGGAUGGCCACCAGGAAAAACCCAGAGAUCUUCUGUAAGACGUUGCCCCCACCUGAAGCGUGUGCUAUGUGCGCAGAAUGAACAGGUUGUUUCUGGGUGGCUGUGUCCAGUGCGUGCUGCUCCCAUUAAUCAGUACAAAUACUGGUCCUUUUUCGCCUGCAAGAUGUGUGCUUUGGAGAUGAGCUAACAAAGGCACAGAAGGGCUGAGCGACGCACUGAAAGUUGCACAGCUUGUAUGGGACAGUCAGGCCCAGCUCUGUCUGUCUGCAAAGCCCAUACUCUGCAGGCUGCUUUAGACUGAGGCUCCCAUAACACUCCCAGAAAGGAGAAUUCGAGCAUCCCGCUUCUCCUGUCUCCGCCCUCACACCUGCUCUGCCGAGGUACCUGAGGGGCUCAGAAGACCUGCACAGGGUCCCUGGGGUCUUAUCAGCAAAGGCGCAGCCAGAGUGAUGUGUCCUGGAAUAAGGGCUGGCGUUUCAUCGAGAACUUGCCCAAGAGACACUUUUGGGUGGUUAGGUGAGAGACUUAUUUAUGGGGCUGCCCGGGGCAUCCCAGACCUCUAUCCAGGGUGGAGGAAAGCCAGGCGUCAGCCUCAGACAGCAGGAGACUCAAGACACACGAUGGAAACCGCGCUGACACCUUCGCCUUCCCGCGCGCUUGGUUGCCUAGCAACCGAAAGUGACGAGCUGCCAACUCACUGAUGCGAUCGCAGUGGGGAGAUCAGAUUCCUCUUCCCUACCAACCUGUGAGCUUGAGGACCAAGACCCCGUGAGAGGCAGUGCAAUAAAGAGCACAGUGUUGGAGCCAGACCUGCCGCACUUCAAAUCUCAAAGGCUGCAUGACUUCGGGCAAGCAAAGAACAACCGGAGGCUGAGAUCAAGUUGACGUGCUGGUUAACCCAUGUCUCCUUUGGAAGUGUCCACCUGUCCCAGGUCCUGUCCAACAGACAGCACUGUUUGUACCGCAUGAUCCACCCUUGUGGCCACAGCUGAUUGCACCAGGCCAGGGCUGUCAGUGGAAAGACCUUCAGUGAACAGUGUUCACAGCGGCUGGAACCACUAAGUACAGUGUGUCCUUAGAUCUCCUCAGUGCUUGGCUCAUGAGAGAUGCUGGUGAAACGGCUGAUGAGUCAGAUGCCAACGUGUAAACCCAAUCUUUGAGUUGAUGAGGCAAACUCCACAGACAGACUCUGCUCUAUCUUCUAGCUUUCUCCGUUCAAGUGUGGCCAUCCUUGAUUCUUGCUCCUUUCUAUCCUGGGUUCUUGACUAGGUUUGUUUUUAGAUCUCUAUGAGCUUAUUGGUCAAUGAACCCC
RNAcentral lists this long non-coding RNA (1400 nucleotides) under Equus caballus (horse). RNAcentral's name for it is "lncRNA (ENSECAG00000047952.1)". Lineage: Eukaryota; Metazoa; Chordata; Mammalia; Perissodactyla; Equidae. The record is from RNAcentral.